GUCCCUCUUUAUCCACCCGUCCAUCACACUUCAGUUUCAGUUUAGAAAUGCUUUGACCAAAUGAUUCUAUUAUUGGUUUGUUAAUAUUAUGUUACGGGUCAAUUUUGUGAUUCAUGCUGGUGGAAUAACAUCUCAGACGGAUGUGUGCCAUAAGAAAUUAAGAAUUUUCUUACGUUUGUUAGGGCCAUAUAUAUCUUGCCUUUCCAUAAGCCAGGUUGGCCCGGCUUUUGCAAUCCCAUGAAGUUCAUCACCUGUCAACCUUAAACCAGAUGCUCCACAGAGCACAGCUUUAUACGACCGCAGAGUUCGAAUCCUGAACAGUAUGGACACAACAUUAAAGCUUGAUACAACUCUGAAUUUGAAUUGCG
Molecule: long non-coding RNA, 368 nt
Filed under: Mytilus galloprovincialis (Mediterranean mussel)
Lineage: Eukaryota; Metazoa; Mollusca; Bivalvia; Mytilida; Mytilidae
Source: RNAcentral